AACAUAAAAGAGACAAGAAUAGGAAUGCGAAGAUUAAUCAUUUUUGUGAUAUGGUAUUUUCUCUUGAAUGGAAACCAGCUUGAAGGGUCAAGUAAUAUUGUGAGUGAACAGAGUCUGUGUUUUGGUAUUGUGUAACGAGUGAGUUGUUAUAUAUUACAUAGACGAGAGAGCUAUUUAUAAUGUAAUUUUCAUAGGUGUCAACAAAUAUGGUGAGAAGAACUCUAAUCACCAUUUUGAGUUUUUGAUGUUAGUCUUCAACAAACUCACCUAUAUUUUCAUUUAAUUUUACUUCUUAUAUGUAUAACUCCUUUACGUUUAAUUAGCUGAGAACUUAAAGUAGUUUACCUGUUCAAGUUAUAAACAUUAGACAUUACAAGAAAACUUGUAUAAUGGAUAGAUCAAUCUCACCUAUCUAGUCAAAAUAGAUAGAAACAAAAGAAGCUCCUCAAUCAAUUUUAAAAGUAUCCAAUUAGUAAAAUAUAUUUUAUAUAUAUGAGGAGCAAAAAUCAACUAAAUACAUUGUAAAAGUCUAAACCCCAUGGUGGUAUUAAAAAGGAAUUCACCAAAACAAUAGUAAUAGAUGUGAACUUCUUGUAAGGAUUCACUUGAGACUUGAGAGGGAUAAACGUAGAGGACUGUCACCGUGUGGCACCUUGACCAGGCAUGCUUAGCCGGUUUCAAGAGAUUGAGAGCUCUACGUGUAGUGUCUAAUCAUCUCUGGUUAAACAUUUCACACCAAUGAUGCUUCACAUCAUUUCAGGCAUAAUCACCAUGUUCUUUAAAUGUGUCCUCACUACUUCCUAUUUUUCCGUUUAACCAAGUUUUUUUUAUUUAAUAAACCUAAAGGAUCUUUGCCUGUUCAGAUGAAUAGAAUCGAUAUUCAUAAAAUUAGCCCGUAUUAUUUGAAACACGUGAACAAUUGUUUUUAGACAAAACGAUUAAUUAACAUAGAUAAGUAACACAAACCAUUAAAAGAGUAUAUGAAACACAUAAUGAAACAUACAAGUAUAACAGAUUACAAGUAUAAGUGUAUGAAGAAAGGCUAUCAGAUCAAACCAUAGACAUGGUUCCCUAAGUAACCGACGAUGAGAUAGACACACAAGACAAAGGUGAUAUAGUAAUCUAGAUCAUGGGCGUGGGCCUUAAAGUAGAUGGGCUUUCAUACAGUUCAAUAGGCUUAGUGAGUUCCAGGCACUUUUGGGAGUUCCGGCAACUUGGGAACUUCAGGCAUCUUAGGUAGCUCCGGUUUUGGAAUCUCCGGCAUUUUUGGAACCUCAGGUUUCUGAAUCUCCGGCAUCUUCGGCAACUCCGGCUUUGGAAUCUCUGCCAUCUUCGGCAAUUCCGGUUUUUGAAUCUCCGGCAUCUUUGGCAGCUCCGGCAACUUAGGAGCUUCAGGCUUUUGAAUUUCCGGAAUCUUUGGUAGCUCCGGUUUAGGAACCUCUGGUACUUUUGGUAGCUCCGGUUUAGGAAUCUCUGGUACCUUUGGUAGCUCUGGUUUAGGAAUCUCCGGCACCUUUGGCAGCUCUGGUUUAGGAACCUCAGGCUUGGGAGUCUCCAUCAACUUAGUCCCCUCGUGCUUUGGAAAUUCAGGUAACUUGGGAAUGUCUAGUUUAGGGAGCUCCGGGAACUUAGGAACUUCGAAUUUAGGUAGCUCCGGGUGAGGAAGUUCAGGCAAUUUUGGUAACUCCAUGUGAGGUAGUUCGGGCAGUUUUGGUAUCUCCAUGUGAGGUAGUUCAGGCAAUUUGGGUAUUUCCGGUUUAGGAAUCUCCUCCACUAACCGGCGAGCUCCCACUGAAACCGGAUUAGCUAGCAAUGCAGUUAGACAGAUGAUGAGAAGUGGUGAUGAGAGGAGAAGAGCAAAGAGGCUCUUCUUCAUCAGUGCCAUGGUUCUGCUUGCUUGCUUGAAUGAAAAGUGUUUGCCUUCUUCUUCUUCUUCUUCUUCUUCUUUUGCUUUGAUGUGUGUUUGUUUGUUUUUGGUUUUUGAUGAGUUUUUGGUCUUUGAUUCGAAUGGUUAUUUAAAGGUGUUGAGAGGAAGAGGGAAGAUGAGUUUGGUGGGAAAAUAGUCUAUAUAAUUCAAAAAGUUCGUUUAACCUCUCUAUCUGUAUUCUAUCUAGUUGACUUUUAGAUCCUAAUGUUUACGUGUUCAUUUUUUUGUUACACGUCUAUCUUGAAAAUAAUCAUCAAUUAAACCAAGUUUAUUAACAAUCACUAAGAAAUCAAGUUUGAGGCUUGAUCAAUUGUGCCUUACAAAUAUCUAGCCAGUUGUGUUGAUUCUGACGAAUCAAAAUUUCAAGAUGAAUAUUUUUUGCACAUAAAUUUGGUAAAUUUGCAAGUACGAAACGAAAAGCAGCUUCAGAUUAAAGAAUGAAAGCAAACAACGUUUAGGUUGUGGUCGGUAAUCUACACAACGACUGUAGAUCCUUUUGCCUUGUGUGGUAUGUUAUGCUAUUUGUCAUCAAGUCAUUGAAGUACAAUAUAUUGUUUGAUAUAUUUGAUCUUCAGACAUAUUUUACAAAAGAAAGUUAUAGAAUUGGGUAUAACUUCAGCCGGUAACAACUUUCUUUCAAUAAAAUGUAUAAGCCAAAAUGAAACAAGUCUGAUCAGAAGCUUGCUACCUCUAAUCUGAGAAAACAAGUGUUGGUGCCUUACUUCCAUCGCAACUAUAUCAUCCGAAACCAGUUCUUGGAUAUGAUACAUAAAGGUUAUACAUAAGAUUACAUUACAUUGAUUCCACAAACGAAUCAAAGCUACAUCAUUUUCAACUACUAACAAUACAUAGGCCCGAGAACAUGCAACCACAAAACAAACAAGGACAUAAUAAAGGUCUUACUUUCACUAAGUAGCCUUGACCUUAUCAGCUACAACAACACAAAAGUAUUAACAUAUUUUUCAAGAACUCAUCAAGUUCCUCAAAAAACUCUAUCCUUUUGAUAUCAUCCUCCUUUCUUAUUCUUCUUUGCAUGAUCUCUCUCCUCAUCAUCAUCAGAUAUGUUAAUAUAUAACUCGUCACCACCAUCCUCCACGUCGUGAUAGUUUCUUGGAGCUGGUGUUUUAACAUUUGCCUGAUGAUGAUCAGCGCUUAGCACAGGGCAGUGGAAGAGAUGUGAAACCGGCGACCAACCAGAACCAGAGGUUUUAGCAUCACCUGAAAACCCUACCGGAAACAUAGCCCACGAACAGAAAAAGUAAACGCCCUGGCCAUUACUCUCCACCGGCGGCGUCUCCAUCUUAACCGCUUCAAACGCUCUCCCACACUGCUGACACCUCAACGCGCAUUCCUCGUAGCCCUUAGGGUACUCGAAAAGCGCGUAACAGUACGGACACGCCGUCCAAAAGCUCGCAGCAUUAGGACUCUCCGAGGUCUCAGCUAACUGCUCCCGUUGGCUUUGAGGUUGACCGAGUUGGUGGUCGUAGAUUGAUUUUCUCGGAGGAUCGGAGAGGACGCACCAAGCCUCAGCUUGAGCGCUUGGUCGGCGAAAGGGAGACGGUUCACAGUGGGGUUGAGGAGAAGAGCGAGUCUACGGUACUGAACCGCGACGCGUUCGAGGCUUUGGGUUAGUUUCUCGAGUCGGAGCACCGCGUACCAGUCAGGUAGUUUAGAAUCUCCGACGGUGGAUUCUCCGGCGAGGAGAGUGUCGGCGAUGGCGAUGAUGUAGUCUGCUGCAUGUGUUCGGGACGAGUCGUCUUCGCAUGCGCGGAUGGCUAAUGCCUUUGCUCCUUUGAAGUCACUUGAGGCUAGAAGCUCCUUCGAUGUGACUAGCCACCGAUCCGCCUCCGCUCCGUUAUCGUCGCCGCUGACCAUAUCUUUGUUUCUCAACCUUUGUUUUUGAGUAAAUACAGAACAGUGUUACUUUGCUAGUGGACCAACAAGACACUGUCGGACUAUACACAAUAUCUAUGGGUAGUUUUGUCAUUUCCACUAGGCCUCUCUAAACCGGCCGGUAUAUAGCAUACCAAUGAUUGUUAUUGAACUGAUCUCAAGUUUUUUUUUUGUCUUGGUCAACCAUUGUUAUUAGGACAAUUUUGCUUUCCCACAUCUUUGUCUGAAUAUAGUAAAUUUUGGGAGAUUUCUUUAACAAUUUCUUUACAUUUGAAGUUAUGAACCAAUAUAACUCCUGACAAUGCGGUUUUGAUUAUUAACGUGGAACAUUCUCAUGAGGUGAAACGGUAAGAUCGGAGGUGGUGGUAAAGACUGUAAUAACAGCCACACAUCAUCCUCUAUUUCUUUUUCUUCCCACGCAUUUUGUUUCUCUGAUAUAACAAAAACUAUUAGAGAUUAGAGAAGAAUUAAAGACGAUCGAUAAUAGAGAUUGGUUGCAACAAUGGAUGAAGAGUAUGAUGUGAUUGUUCUUGGUACUGGUCUCAAGGAGUGUAUUCUUAGUGGUCUCCUCUCUGUCGAUGGCCUCAAGGUUCUCUUUCAAUUCAAUUCCAAAUGCAUGAUUAUUUUUGUGCAUGAUCACAUGCAUGUAUACUAUAGCUUUAUUUUUACGUUUAGUUCUGGUUUUUGUUUUAGUUAUGAAUCUUAUGUCAGAUCAAUAGUUGAAUUGCCGCCUUUGGCAGUGAAGUAUAGUGCUCCAAUAAUAGCCUUUUGACCUUUGAACGAGAUUUUGUUUCGUAGACCAUGAAUGAUAUUAUAAGAUGAUUAGUGUGAAGUGUGUUAUUUUAGAAACACAUACAUAAAUACAUUUAUCUUUCAAAUAUGUAAUCAUCUAUAUAGGUACUGCAUAUGGAUAGAAACGACUACUAUGGAGGAGAAUCAAGCUCUCUUAACCUCACUCAGCUAUGGAAGCGUUUCAGGGGAAGUGACACUCCUGAAGAAAAUCUUGGAGCAAUUAGAGAAUACAAUGUCGAUAUGAUCCCAAAGGUAUGUACAUAUCUAUUAGUGAAUAUUCACAUAUAUGUAAUGUGAAUCGAUAAAUAAGGAGAUAAUGGUUUCUUGAUCUGCAGUUUAUAAUGGCUAAUGGACUCCUUGUUCAAACCCUAAUCCACACUGAUGUCACCAAGUAUCUUAACUUCAAAGCCGUUGAUGGCAGCUUCGUCUACAAUAAGGGCAAGGUAGUGAUUAAGUCUAUUUUUUUUACCUUAAAUAUAAGUAACUACUAGCUAGAGAUUUUGAUCAUCCGUACCAUUCAAACGUCAGAUCUAUAAAGUCCCAGCCACUGAUGUGGAAGCCCUAAAGUCGCCAUUGAUGGGACUAUUCGAGAAACGACGUGCGAGAAAGUUCUUCAUCUAUGUGCAAGACUACGAUGAGAAGGAUCCUAAGUCUCACGAAGGACUUGACCUUAGCAAAGUCACUGCUAGAGAGAUCAUCUCGUACGUCCAACUCAAAAUCAUUUCAUCAUUUGUUUCUUGCGUUACAAGCUUUGUCUCUCUGGUUUCUCUUUUCCCAAUAGGAAGUACGGACUUGAAGAUGAUACAAUCGACUUCAUCGGUCAUGCCUUAGCGCUUCACAAUGACGAUGACUACUUGGAUCAACCAGCCAUUGAUUUUGUUAAGAGAAUCAAGGUAAAGUGUUUUAUUUUCUUCUUGAAUAUGGAAAUGUUCUGAUCUCAAUGUGCAUUUUAUUGUUUGUUAUGUGGUAAAGCUCUACGCAGAGUCCUUGGCUCGAUUCCAAGGAGGGUCUCCUUACAUCUACCCACUGUAUGGUCUAGGAGAGUUGCCACAGGUCCGUGUUCACCUUAUUCUCAUGAAACAUGUUAGGUUUCAUCUUAAUUUAAGACCAUUUUCUAUGUUAAAAUCUCUGUUUAUAUUCUCAGGCUUUCGCGCGUUUGAGCGCUGUGUAUGGAGGGACUUACAUGCUGAACAAGCCUGAAUGCAAGGUUACACACCAUCCAUAAUUAAUCUCUUCUUUCUCGGUUUUGUUUAUUAGAAAUCUCAUAUCCAUAAAUGUAUAAGAUAGCUCGAAACUCAUGAAUAUCUUUAACAUUAUCCCUAACAGGUUGAGUUUGAUGGCUCCGGAAAAGCUAUCGGUGUCACUUCUGCAGGAGAAACUGCUAAAUGCAAGAAAGUUGUCUGUGAUCCUUCUUACUUGUCUGACAAGGUAACUCUAAACCCAUUUCACCUAUAAAGGUUGGUUCACCACUUGAUUCUCGCAAAGGCCUAGUAACGUUCUAAUAAGACGGUUUCCUUGUGUUUCAGGUUAAGAAAGUUGGGAAAGUGGCUCGAGCGGUGUGUAUAAUGAGCCAUCCUAUUCCAGACACCAACGACGCUCACUCGGUCCAAAUCAUUCUUCCACAGAAGCAGCUCGGACGCAAAUCAGACAUGUAAGAGAUUAUAAUCAAAAUUGUAAACUUUGAAAAAAUUAUUAUGUUUUGAAUUUUUAUUUGUUUAGAAUUAUGAAAAUAGAUAAUCACAAAAAAUAUACUUUUAUAACUAAAAUUAAAAACUUUGAAACAUGAGUAUAAUUUAGUACCACUACAACAAACGUAAUAAUUUCUUAGUUGUUAGUUAAAGUGAAGCCCGUAUGCUUGGUCUUCUCUUUCACUUUUGUUUUUGUUUAUAAUAAUUAACGAGCCAAAUAGUGGAAGUAAGUUUUAACUUUUUCUGGGUGGUUUCUUUAAUUAUUGUUUCAAAUUAUUUCCUUUAGGUGCGUGGGUGGGAUGUUUUGGAACAUUUACGAUGAUCAUAGGAUAAACACGUACAUACUUCAUUUUCUUGGGGUUUAAGAAAAAAACAAAUUACAUUAGAACUUUUGUUUGUUUACUUGUUCAGGAGUAUAUAGCUAGCUAAGAAAACACCAUUUUAUCCCAAUCGUUUUUACAUUUAGUGUAAGACUAUAUAGUAAAUAGUAAUAUUUUAAUAAGAAAUUUAACAAUUUGAGUAGCAUUACCCGUAUUUGAUUGAGAAAGGGAAUAAAGAAAAGAAAAAAGAAAAAGGGAAGCAAGUGAAUGAUUAAAGAAAUGCACGGGGAUUAAGUGCUUAAUUGCCUUGACGACUACUUUUUCCCAUCCUUUGUUUCUUUCUUGCUUUUUGAAUUUUUUUCUUCUAAAGAUUGAUUUCUUGUUACCUUGUUCAUGUGUUUUGUUUGAUUUGAUAUGAGGAUAGUUGUUACCGAGUGAGACCAGAGGAGGAGCUAUAUGAUUACUAUUUUCAAUAUGAUUUCAAACUACUUUAAAAUUUCUAAAUUUCUAGGAAACAAUUAUGCUAUCUGUUGAGAAAUAAUCAUUUAAAACAUGUUAAGAUAAGACUGCUGAAUAUGAUAUUUAAAUAUAAGCUUCACAUUGUCAAGGAAGACUAAGCUUUGCUAAGAUGAGUAGCCGUAUGAAAUUGGGUCUAUUCCCUAACUCAAGACUGAUAAAUGAGCCAUAAUUCUAUCCUAAAGUUGGGCAUAUUCACCAAAGUUGGACUGAUAAUUGCCCAUUUAAAGCUUUCAGUUUCUUUUUUUGGGCCAACGUAAGCUGUCAGAUAAGAAGACUUGGCAAAGCUCUCAACAUCUGGUGUACGUAAAAUAAAAUUUGUCAAAAGAAGUCAUAGAAAAAAUGAUGUUGAUACUAAUUUUUUUUUUUUUUUAAACAUUGCAUUCAUUCAAACCUACAAGGAUGAUACAUGGGUGAGAUACAAAGCCAGCAGCACACAUCAGUGUCUCUGGAAACAAAGCUGGACAAACCGAUGUUGAUACUAAUUACAAAACGUAAUAGUAAAAUAUAUAUUUUGUACCACAAGAAAAGCACACAAGCUACACGAGAGACUCAGUACAAAGACUAUUCAUUUCGAGACGUCAGUGACCCAAACAUGACAUGAAAAUGCAACAAUGCAUAAGUACUAUCUCGUGUUUCAUAAAACACAAACAAGCCUAUUAUUACACCAUAUACUUUUAUUUAUCAUUAUUCAGGCAAUAGCAGUGUAUAUAGAUUCCCUUUUAAUGUUCUCAAUCCAUUGAUCUAUGGCUUCUUGUUCGAACCACUAGAAGUUUCCUCGGAAAUAACACUUGUAGGUUUUGUCUUUUCAGUCUUUGGUAAACCGCCGUUAGUACCGGGAAAAGGGAAGCUUGGGAUCCACGAGGGGAAUUCAAAACUCCCUUCUUCUGACUCCUUUGGUGGCUCCUCUGGUUCCUCAGGAUCUUCUGGAAUCUCCGGCUCCUCCGGCUCUUCUGGAAUCUCCGGUUCCUCCGACUCCUCAAGCCUAUUAUAUUGUGGAAUCUUUGUGGCCUCUUCUUGUACCAGAGAGUGACCUAUUCUAGCAGCAAAAAUAGGUGUAGCAAACAAAAGGGACGACGAAAUAAAAACAAGGAAAAACAUAAAAGAGACAAGAAUAGGAAUGCGAAGAUUAAUCAUUUUUGUGAUAUGGUAUUUUCUCUUGAAUGGAAACCAGCUUGAA
Molecule: long non-coding RNA, 8316 nt
Filed under: Brassica napus (rape)
Lineage: Eukaryota; Viridiplantae; Streptophyta; Magnoliopsida; Brassicales; Brassicaceae
Description: long non-coding RNA (BNAP_LNC009008)
Source: RNAcentral